Capra hircus (goat) is the source of this 952-nucleotide non-coding RNA. The record is from the annotation of a RefSeq genome assembly. Lineage: Eukaryota; Metazoa; Chordata; Mammalia; Artiodactyla; Bovidae.
AUGGCUGACCUAGUGAAAGUGAGCAUUUAUCAUUGUGACAGCUCGGGCUGGAAGAAGAUAUUUGGAGAAGGAGCUAACAUCAUAGUAACUCCUUCCGAGAGAAACCUUGCUGCAGACACUUCCCCCAAGCCCACUGUUUUUCUUCCUUCAAUUGCUGAAAUCAACCAUGAUAAUGCUGGAACAUAUCUUUGUCUCCUGGAGAACUUUUUCCCUGAUGUUAUUACAGUGUCUUGGAGAGUAAAAAAUGACAAAAGAGCUCUGCCAUCCCAGCAGGGAAACACCAUGAAGACCAAGGACACAUACAUGAAGCUCAGCUGGCUGACCGUGACCGAAAACUCUAUGGAUAAACAACAUGUGUGUGUUGUCAAACACCAGAAAAAUAUAGGAGGAAUUGAUCAAGAGAUUAUUUUUCCUUCAAUAAAAGAAGUUGUCACCUCAGCUGUCACUACUACUGAGCCUCCAACUACUGAGCCUCCAAAUGAUUGUUUGACUGAUGAAAGCAGUGCCCUGCAGCUGCAGCUCACGACCACCUCUGCCUAUUACACCUACCUCUUACUCCUCCUCCUGAGCGCAGUCUACUUUGUUGUCAUCAUUUCCUGUGUGUUUAGGAGAACAGGCGUCUGCUGUGACGGGAAGAUCUCGUGACGGGGGGUGGCUACCGAGAGGUCAACUUUCCUUCGCCAUCUACAGUCCCAGAAAUUCUCUGCUUGCCUUUUGGUUUGGGUUAUCUCAGUUCAGAUGUGUAUUUGUCUCUGAUGUCAUAAUUGUCCCACCCCCAAGUCCUUUCAACUCCUGAGCGCACACUGUGGGCAGCUCCCUGCCUCCUCCCUCAGCACCUCCACCCAGACCAAAACCCUGACCCUCCCUGUCACACACCCUGGAGAAGUCAGCUUUGCUGCUCGAAUUCUGUACUUAGAUUUUCAUAACAUGCACAAUAAAUACGAAAGAAUCA